ACGCUCGACACCUACGGGUGGCAGCAGUAGGGAAUCUUCCACAAUGGGCGCAAGCCUGAUGGAGCAACACCGCGUGAGUGAAGAAGGGUUUCGGCUCGUAAAGCUCUGUUGUUGGAGAAGAACGUGCGUGAGAGUAACUGUUCACGCAGUGACGGUAUCCAACCAGAAAGUCACGGCUAACUACGUGCCGGCAGCCGCGGUAAUCUGAGCGGGCUGGCAAGGC
This 223-nucleotide ribosomal RNA is filed under the name uncultured bacterium. Its description in RNAcentral is "partial 16S ribosomal RNA". It matches the Rfam family "Bacterial small subunit ribosomal RNA", at positions 328 to 539 of the family's 1533-position model. The record is from RNAcentral.